Molecule: ribosomal RNA, 252 nt
Filed under: uncultured bacterium
Lineage: Bacteria
Description: partial 16S ribosomal RNA
Rfam family: Bacterial small subunit ribosomal RNA
Source: RNAcentral
UACGGAGGAUGCGAGCGUUAUCCGGAUUUAUUGGGUUUAAAGGGUGCGUAGGCGGGCUUUUAAGUCAGCGGUAAAAAUUCGGGGCUCAACCCCGUCCGGCCGUUGAAACUGGGGGCCUUGAGUGGGCGAGAAGAAGGCGGAAUGCGUGGUGUAGCGGUGAAAUGCAUAGAUAUCACGCAGAACCCCGAUUGCGAAGGCAGCCUUCCGGCGCCCUACUGACGCCGAGGCACGAAAGUGCGGGGAUCGAACAGG